AGUGAACGCUGGCGGUAGGCCUAACACAUGCAAGUCGAACGGCAGCACAGUAAGAGCUUGCUCUUACAGGUGGCGAGUGGCGGACGGGUGAGGAAUACAUCGGAAUCUACUUUUUCGUGGGGGUUAAGGAAGGGAAAGUUAAUCUAUUACCGCAUCCCCCCUCGGGUGGAAGCGGGGGGACCUUCGCCCCUGGCGGGGUUGAAUGAGCGGAUGUCGAGUUAGCUGGUGGGGGGGUGAAAGACCCACAAAGGCGAGGAUCGGUGGCUGGACUGAGAGGAUGAUCAGCCACACUGGAACUGAGACACGGUCCAGACUCCUACGGGAGGCAGCAGUGGGGAAUAUUGGACAAAGGGCGCAAGCCUGAUCCAGCCAUACCGCGUGGGUGAAGAAGGCCUUCGGGUUGUAAAGCCCUUUUGUUGGGAAAGAAAAGCAGCAGGUUAAUACCCCGCUGUUCUGACGGUACCCAAAGAAUAAGCACCGGCUAACUUCGUG
Molecule: ribosomal RNA, 492 nt
Filed under: uncultured bacterium
Lineage: Bacteria
Description: partial 16S ribosomal RNA
Rfam family: Bacterial small subunit ribosomal RNA
Source: RNAcentral